GCGCCCGUAGCUCAGUCGGAUAGAGCACAGGAUUCCUAAUCCUGGGGCCGCAGGUUCGAAUCCUGCCGGGCGCACCA
RNAcentral lists this transfer RNA (77 nucleotides) under Rhodospirillaceae bacterium. RNAcentral describes it as "tRNA-Arg". It matches the Rfam family "tRNA". Rfam says of the family: Transfer RNA (tRNA) molecules are approximately 80 nucleotides in length. Their secondary structure includes four short double-helical elements and three loops (D, anti-codon, and T loops). The record is from RNAcentral. RNAcentral also lists the same sequence under 2 other names. Lineage: Bacteria; Pseudomonadati; Pseudomonadota; Alphaproteobacteria; Rhodospirillales; Rhodospirillaceae.